Long non-coding RNA from Tachysurus vachellii, 707 nucleotides. RefSeq lists it as uncharacterized. Lineage: Eukaryota; Metazoa; Chordata; Actinopteri; Siluriformes; Bagridae. The transcript has 2 exons. The record is from RefSeq and is a predicted model, not a curated record.
GGUGAAGGCACAGGCUCCCACACACAAACACACUGCUUACUGACUUAGUGCUCUGUUUGUGUUUGCAUUUGUAUGCUUUGCUACACUGUUGUGCUGAGUGCAUGUUCUUUGCUUUGCACUAUUGUGUUAACCGUCUCUGCUGCGCUGUUCUGCUAGGCUAUGCCCUGGUGUACUGUCUGUCCCACUGCUACACUUUGAUGUCUCAUCAUGUGGUGUGCUUUGGGAAGAUAAACUGGUAAGCAGUAAUUCCCUGUUCUGGACUCUCACUUCUGGGUUGGCGGAACUGUUCCUGUUCCUACUCUGACUGCUUUUGUCUGUGCCUGUUCCUGGUCCCUGAUUCUGCCUGCUCUAUGAUACUUCUGCGUGAUUUGAUCCUUUCUGUUUUUUUAGUUGCUGUUUCCUGGUUGCCCUGUACUGCUCUGUUUUUGGUUUUGGAUUUUUGGACUGUUUAUCACCCUGAUUCCUGCCUGCACUAUAUUGCUCUGCUUGCCUGUUAUUGGAUUACUGGACUGUUUAUGACUUUGGAUUCUGCCUGCUCUUCAUUGCCCUGUUUGCCGGUUUUUGGAUUACUGAACUGUUCCUGACGUUGUUUGAUACAUGCCCUGCAUUGCCCUGUUUGCCUGUGUUUUGGAUUAUUGGACUGUCUGCAGUAUUGAACUGUGCCUUCCUUGUUUUAAGCCAGCUCACAUUAAAGACUAAAUUUGAAA